GCCGCCGCCUCUCCCCGGGGCUCGGGGCCGCGGUUCCUCUAGCCGCGGGAGCCGCCGCCGCGCUGCCCGAAACAAUGAGGCGUGCGGCACGGGGCUGAGCGUAGCCUCCCGCCGGCUUUGAGGCCGAGCCACCCGCUGUGCCCUGCCGCCCGCGCUUGCAGCCGUCGCCGGCGCGGAGCAGCGCUGGCCCCGGAGAGGUGAUUCGGCAGGCCGCCCGGGACGGGAGCGCGGGGCAGCUCCGAGACCCCACGGUGGCAGCUCCGAGACUCCACGGUGGCAGGAGGAGGACUCGAGCCUGCGGCAGGACGACUCCCGCCGCGCACUCGCCUUCUGCAGCCCCCAAGUUCCGCGGCGUGAGUCGGGAGACCCCGGCCAGGGUCCCAGCUCUAGCGGGCGUCAGUGUGAGUGUGGGAGCGCGUAGCGCGCGCACCCGAGCGGCUGCCGGGGAAUAAAAUGUGACACACACGCCUCGGACUCCAGUGCCGCGCUGCCAGGGGGAGCGCCGAGCACCACGGUGUCGUGCGCUUCGAGGCGCAGCGUGGGGAGAAGGCUGGUUCAUUCUGCCACCCAUCUGCUUUAAGACACAAGGUGCUGACCACAGAGACCUGCCAUGAAACCACACUUGAAGCAAUGGAGACAACGAAUGCUUUUCGGAAUAUUCGCUUGGGGGCUCCUCUUUUUGCUGAUUUUCAUCUACUUCACCGACAGCAACCCCGCUGAGCCUGUGCCCAGCUCCCUCUCCUUCCUGGAGACCAGGAGGCUCCUGCCGGUGCAGGGGAAGCAGCGGGCCAUCAUGGGCGCCGCGCAUGAGCCCUCCCUGCCUGGGGGCCUGGACGCACGCCAGGCGCUGCCCCGCGCCCACCUAGCCGGUUCCUUUCACGCGGGGCCUGGAGACCCGCAGAAAUGGACCCAGUCCCAAGAUGGGUUUGAACAUAAAGAGUUUUUUUCAUCCCAGGUGGGAAGAAAAUCUCAAAGUGCUUUCUACCCGGAGGAUGACGACUACUUUUUUGCUGCUGGUCAGCCAGGGUGGCACAGCCACACUCAGGGGACAUUGGGAUUCCCUUCCCCCAGGGAGCCAGGCCCGCGGGAGGGGGCUUUUCCGGCUGCACAGGUCCAGAGGAGUCGGGUGAAGAAGAGGCACCGGAGGCAGAGAAGGAGCCACGUGUUGGAGGAGGGCGACGAUGGCGACAGGGUGUACUCCUCCAUGUCCAGGGCCUUCCUGUACCGGCUCUGGAAGGGGAACGUCUCCUCCAAAAUGCUGAACCCGCGCCUGCAGAAGGCGAUGAAGGAUUACCUGACCGCCAAUAAGCACGGGGUGCGCUUCCGCGGGAAGCGGGAGGCCGGGCUGAGCAGGGCACAGCUGCUGUGCCAGCUGCGGAGCCGCGCGCGCGUGCGGACGCUGGACGGCACCGAGGCGCCCUUCUCUGCGCUGGGCUGGCGGCGCCUGGUGCCCGCCGUGCCCCUGAGCCAGCUGCACCCGCUCGGCCUGCGCAGCUGCGCUGUCGUCAUGUCUGCAGGCGCAAUUCUCAACUCUUCCUUGGGCGAGGAAAUAGAUUCUCAUGAUGCAGUUUUGAGAUUUAACUCUGCUCCUACACGUGGUUAUGAGAAAGAUGUUGGGAAUAAAACCACCGUACGCAUCAUUAAUUCGCAGAUUCUGACCAACCCCAGCCAUCACUUCAUUGACAGUUCACUGUAUAAAGACGUCAUUUUGGUGGCCUGGGACCCUGCCCCAUAUUCCGCAAAUCUUAACCUGUGGUACAAAAAACCGGAUUACAACCUGUUCACUCCAUAUAUUCAGCAUCGUCAGAGAAACCCAAAUCAGCCAUUUUACAUUCUUCAUCCUAAAUUUAUAUGGCAGCUCUGGGAUAUUAUCCAGGAGAACACUAAAGAGAAGAUUCAACCAAACCCACCAUCUUCUGGUUUCAUUGGAAUCCUCAUCAUGAUGUCCAUGUGCAGAGAGGUGCACGUGUAUGAAUAUAUCCCAUCCGUGCGGCAGACGGAGCUGUGCCACUACCACGAGCUGUACUACGACGCAGCCUGCACCCUCGGGGCGUACCACCCACUACUCUAUGAGAAGCUCCUGGUGCAGCGCCUGAACACGGGCACGCAGGGGGAUUUGCAUCGCAAGGGCAAGGUGGUUCUGCCCGGCUUCCAGGCAGUGCACUGCCCUGCACCGAGUCCAGUCAUUCCACACUCUUAAAAAGGGUUUCUUGGGAAUCAGUGUGCAAUAAGGUACUACUGUUGUACUCAAAGUCACAAAAGAAUACUUGAAGAUAGAUUUUAGACAAUGUAGUUUUGAAUCUUUAAACUGUAAUUUAGUGGUGGUCAUGAGAAUUCUUCUCUUUCUAAGCCAUUGAGUAUGUAUUACUGCUUUGAACAUAGAAACGGAUUUUUUAAAAAAUAAGGCUCAAGAAAGAUGCAAGACAAAGGAUAGCUAGAAAGAAAACACGUGUAUGACCAUGGGUAUGAUACGUCCAGAAAUGUUAGCAACUUAUUCUUCUGCCAUGAGUACCCCUCAUCAGGGUUGGUUUCAAUGACAGGUUUUGGUGAUGUUCCUGACCAUAUGAAGUGGUUUAUGUUUAGAAACAUUCAAAUUGAGGGACAUCAUUUACAGCAUCGAGUGUGUCAGUUAUACACGCAUUCAUCAUUAAGUAUCCUAGGUUUUAUGGCAGACAUUGAAAUUAUCACUCAGAUGUGUUUAACAGCAAAAAUUCCCAGCACAUCCUGGCAAAGGCUCGUGUUUCCAACCGUUGCAUUCUUCAUCUCUGCCUCCCAUUGCCCACUGAAUGCUUUGCUUUCUGUGCAUCAAGACAGAGUUCUAAAACCAGAAAACAUCCAUCUUGAAGGGUCCAAGAAAAAGCCAAAUUCCGUAUAGCACCAGAGAGGAGGCCCUUUGUUUACCUGCAGUAUUUCAACCAGGGGAAUUAGUAUCACAUCCACCAGGAGGCACAUCACUGGCAAGUAACUAGAAUCACAGGGCUGCAGGUGCCCCUGGACACUCCCCGGUUCUGGCUUUUCUGCCUUGUGCCUCCUCACCUGCAGAUCUACCCUGUAGCUUUUGCAUAGUCAGUGACACACUUGACAAUUGGCACAGCUGUGCUGGGGAAGACAGGAGACACCUUGCUCCUUCCAAACUAGAAGGAAAGAUUUCGGAGCCAUCAUCCUGUGCUUCUAGGGAUGCACGCCUGUCUUUAUUUUACAGGUUUCUUGCAGGUUUUUAUCAGCCAGUGGGAACUCCACAGUGAUGAGCACUGAAUCUUCACUAAAUCUUCCUACAGACAUUUAGGAAUCCAGUCCUUGCUUUCACAGAUAUGUUUUACGUCAGCAGCAUGACAAAGCCAUAUAAUUAAAUAAUUUAUGUGAAAGCAUUGCUUAUUAACAAGGAAAAUAUAUAGAUGCUUCAGAGGGAAAGGCAGCUAGAGGGAAAUUUUCAUCCCAAUAUGUUAGCUAUAUUCAGGGUUGAUUUUUUUUUAAUCUCAACUGUCACUGAUACAUUGAAAAAUUUUUGCUAUGAAUAUAGUGAAACAGAAACAUUUUGUAAUAUCUUAAUUAAACAUGCUAUUAUUUCAAUGUAUAACCAAAACAUAUCUCCAUGGUACAGUUAAGACUUGUUGCAAUGACAAUAGCAGCUUAAUUAAAUGUGUUCCUCCCUUGCAAGGUGUAUGAAUGUCAGGAGAGUUUAGUGGAAAAGUUUUCUUUGUUUCAGGAUUGGUUUCUUCUAGACUGUUCUCGGGACUACUUUCUUGAGCAAGAAUGGCUUACAGAGACUGAAGGCUUCUGUUUGGUUAGUCUAUUCAGUAGAUAUGGAGCUGGAUAACAAGACAUCUCCUAUAGCUUGUUAUAAUAGUGAAGGAGAAAUUGGAAAGUUUUAAUCACAAUAAUAUCCAAUAAAAGCCCAUUUUGAGAGUUUUGCUAUUAAGUCAAUGAGAAGGGAUAGGUAACUUUGCCCUAUAUAUUAACUUAUGUCUAAAUAGACAUGGUUAAGCCAUGUUCCUUUCUAAUUUCUUUUUUUUUUUUUUUUUUUUUUUUUUUUUGAGACAGAGUCUCACUCUGUCGCCCAGGCUGGAGUGCAGUGGCGCGAUCUCAGUUCACUGCCAGCUCCACCUCCCGGGUUCAUGCCAUUCUCCUGCCUCAGCCUCCGGAGUA
Nomascus leucogenys (northern white-cheeked gibbon) is the source of this 4146-nucleotide RNA transcript. It is a transcript of the gene named ST6 beta-galactoside alpha-2,6-sialyltransferase 2, with no coding region annotated. Lineage: Eukaryota; Metazoa; Chordata; Mammalia; Primates; Hylobatidae. The transcript has 7 exons. The record is from RefSeq and is a predicted model, not a curated record.